AGAUAGAAGUGACUUUUUCUUGCAUCAACAAAGUGGACCUUGUUUGGCAUUCUGAUCACAUGGCUUCCUGAGCUGUCAGGGAAAGGAAGCUGAAGACACAAUGUAAUGAUCCAGGAGCACACUCCUGAUUCUUCAGGACAGCCAGUCUCCUGUUGGCUGCACCGUUUCACCAGCAGAGGGCACUCUGCACAUGAACACAGUCAUAGGAGGGAGCACUGGCAGGUUACCUGGCUCAGAACUCUCCCAGAGCAGUGAGGCCUGGUCUACCCAAAUUCUCAGAAAUGGCAAGAUCUCAGCCCUUUUGCUGACUGGAUAAUAAUCCAUGGUAUAGGUGUAUCUCUACAUAUACCACGUCUUCUGUAUCUACUCAUCGAUCAUUGGACACUUGGGGUGCUUCCCGGUCUUAGUGACUAUCAGUGACAUGGCAAUGCCCACACCUAUUUACAUCAAUGUCUCCUUUUUCUUUGCCCCAGACAAAUGUCUCUGCUCUGACACGACUGCAGUUCUCCUUCAACCUUCUACGCCCACUCCCAACAUACUGGAUCCAGCAGAGUCAACGCACUUGGAGUUUUCUAAAACCUGAGUAGUAGAAACAAAUCAAUCCCUUUUUCCUGAAAUAAACAGCCAGGAUACUGUUGGAACA
Molecule: long non-coding RNA, 643 nt
Organism: Suricata suricatta (meerkat)
Lineage: Eukaryota; Metazoa; Chordata; Mammalia; Carnivora; Herpestidae
Exons: 3
Source: RefSeq, a predicted model, not a curated record